This 497-nucleotide ribosomal RNA is filed under the name uncultured bacterium. RNAcentral describes it as "partial 16S ribosomal RNA". It matches the Rfam family "Bacterial small subunit ribosomal RNA", at positions 28 to 507 of the family's 1533-position model. The record is from RNAcentral.
GAUGAACGCUGGCGGCGUGCCUAAUACAUGCAAGUCGAGCGAACAGAUGAGGAGCUUGCUCCUCUGACGUUAGCGGCGGACGGGUGAGUAACACGUGUAUAACCUACCUAUCAGACUGGUAUCACUUCGGGAAACCGGAGCUAAUACCGGAUAAUAUAUUGAACCGCGUGGUUCAAUAGUGAAAGACGGUUUUGCUGUCACUUAUAGAUGGAUCCGCGCCGCAUUAGCUAGUUGGUAAGGUAACGGCUUACCAAGGCAACGAUGCGUAGCCGACCUGAGAGGGUGAUCGGCCACACUGGAGCUGAGACACGGUCAAGACGCCUACGGGAGGCAGCAGUAGGGAAUCUUCCGCAAUGGGCGAAAGCCUGACGGAGCAACGCCGCGUGAGUGAUGAAGGUCUUCGGAUCGUAAAACUCUGUUAUUAGGGAAGAACAAAUGUGUAAGUAACUAUGCACGUCUUGACGGUACCUAAUCAGAAAGCAACGGCUAACUACGUG